Transfer RNA from Camelus ferus (Wild Bactrian camel), 72 nucleotides. It matches the Rfam family "tRNA". Rfam says of the family: Transfer RNA (tRNA) molecules are approximately 80 nucleotides in length. Their secondary structure includes four short double-helical elements and three loops (D, anti-codon, and T loops). NCBI's taxonomy places the organism in Eukaryota, Metazoa, Chordata, Mammalia, Artiodactyla, Camelidae. The record is from Rfam.
GAGGGUAUAGCUCAGUGGUAGAGUGCAUGCAUAGCAUGCAUGAGGUCCUGAGUUCAAUCUCCAGUACCACCA